GGAGGAAGCAGGGGAUCGCAAGACCUUGCGCUUUUGGAGCGGCCGAUGUCUGAUUAGCUUGUUGGUAAGGUAAAAGCUUACCAAGGCUUCGAUCAGUAGCUGGUCUGAGAGGACGACCAGCCACACUGGGACUGAGACACGGCCCAGACUCCUACGGGAGGCAGCAGUGGGGAAUUUUGGACAAUGGGGGCAACCCUGAUCCAGCCAUGCCGCAUAAAUGAAGAAGACCUUCGGGUUGUAAAGCUCUUUCAGCCGGAACGAAACGGUUACGGUUAAUACCCGUGACUACUGACGGUACCGGAAGAAGAAGCACCGGCUAACUACGUGCCAGCAGCCGCGGUAAUACGUAGGGUGCGAGCGUUAAUCGGAAUUACUGGGCGUAAAGCGUGCGCAGGUGGUUUUGUAAGUCAGAUGUGAAAUCCCCGGGCUCAACCUGGGAACUGCGUUUGAAACUACAAAGCUAG
RNAcentral lists this ribosomal RNA (464 nucleotides) under uncultured bacterium. Its description in RNAcentral is "bacterial SSU rRNA". It matches the Rfam family "Bacterial small subunit ribosomal RNA", at positions 199 to 644 of the family's 1533-position model. The record is from RNAcentral.